Molecule: ribosomal RNA, 433 nt
Filed under: uncultured bacterium
Lineage: Bacteria
Description: partial 16S ribosomal RNA
Rfam family: Bacterial small subunit ribosomal RNA
Source: RNAcentral
AACGAACGCUGGCGGCAUGCCUAACACAUGCAAGUCGAACGAGACCUUCGGGUCUAGUGGCGCACGGGUGCGUAACGCGUGGGAACCUGCCUUUAGGUUCGGAAUAACUCAGAGAAAUUUGAGCUAAUACCGGAUGAUGUCUUCGGACCAAAGAUUUAUCGCCUUUAGAUGGGCCCGCGUUGGAUUAGCUAGUUGGUGGGGUAAAGGCCUACCAAGGCGACGAUCCAUAGCUGGUCUGAGAGGAUGAUCAGCCACACUGGGACUGAGACACGGCCCAGACUCCUACGGGAGGCAGCAGUGGGGAAUAUUGGACAAUGGGCGAAAGCCUGAUCCAGCAAUGCCGCGUGAGUGAUGAAGGCCUUAGGGUUGUAAAGCUCUUUUACCCGAGAUGAUAAUGACAGUAUCGCGAGAAUAAGCUCCGGCUAACUCCGUG